Molecule: ribosomal RNA, 253 nt
Filed under: uncultured prokaryote
Description: partial 16S ribosomal RNA
Rfam family: Bacterial small subunit ribosomal RNA
Source: RNAcentral
UACGAGGGGGGCAAGCGUUGUUCGGAAUUAUUGGGCGUAAAGGGUGCGUAGGCGGCGCGGUAUGUCUCUUGUGAAAUCUCCAGGCUCAACUUGGAGUCUGCAAGGGAAACUGCCGUGCUUGAGUACUGGAGAGGUGAGUGGAAUUCCCGGUGUAGCGGUGAAAUGCGUAGAUAUCGAGAGGAACACCUGAGGUGAAGACGGGUUGCUGGGCUGACACUGACGCUGAGGCGCGAAAGCCAGGGGAGCAAACGGG